Molecule: long non-coding RNA, 231 nt
Organism: Pan troglodytes (chimpanzee)
Lineage: Eukaryota; Metazoa; Chordata; Mammalia; Primates; Hominidae
Exons: 3
Source: RefSeq, a predicted model, not a curated record
GUUAAACUUUUUCACCACUUCCUAAUACCGUGGUUGCUGAAAGUCAUUUCCUGGGGGAUGGGAGAACAGGACUCUAGGACAGAAAAGGGUUGUCCUUAAUCACUUGCUCAGACAAAAACAAGUCUCCUGAAAAACUAAAGAUUCAAACGGGGGGCAGAAAUACUCAAAGGAGAACUGCUGCUCAGCAGAAUCACAUCGAAUGAAAUCAUAAUUCUCAUGGCUUCUAUUAAC